Molecule: ribosomal RNA, 454 nt
Filed under: uncultured bacterium
Lineage: Bacteria
Description: partial 16S ribosomal RNA
Rfam family: Bacterial small subunit ribosomal RNA
Source: RNAcentral
GAUGAACGCUGACAGAAUGCUUAACACAUGCAAGUCAACUUGAACUUCGGUUUGGGUGGCGGACGGGUGAGUAACGCGUAAAGAACUUGCCUCACAGCUAGGGACAACAUUUGGAAACGAAUGCUAAUACCUGAUAUUAUGAUUAUAUGGCAUCGUAUAAUUAUGAAGGCUAUAUGCGCUGUGAGAGAGCUUUGCGUCCCAUUAGCUAGUUGGAGAGGUAACAGCUCACCAAGGCGAUGAUGGGUAGCCGGCCUGAGAGGGUGAUCGGCCACAAGGGGACGGAGACACGGCCCUUACUCCUACCGGAGGCAGCGGUGGGGAAUAUUGGACAAUGGACCGAGAGUCUGAUCCAGCAAUUCUGUGUGCAAGAUGAAGUUUUUCGGAAUGUAAAGUGCUUUCAGUUGGGAAGAAAAAAAUGACGGUACCAACAGAAGAAGUGACGGCUAAAUACGUG